GAUGAACGCUGGCGGCGUGCUUAACACAUGCAAGUCGAACGGAAAGGCCCAAGCUUGCUUGGGUACUCGAGUGGCGAACGGGUGAGUAACACGUGGGUGAUCUGCCCUGCACUUCGGGAUAAGCCUGGGAAACUGGGUCUAAUACCGGAUAGGACGAUGGUUUGGAUGCCAUUGUGGAAAGUUUUUUCGGUGUGGGAUGAGCUCGCGGCCUAUCAGCUUGUUGGUGGGGUAAUGGCCUACCAAGGCGUCGACGGGUAGCCGGCCUGUGAGGGUGUACGGCCACAUUGGGCCUGGGAUACGGCCCAGACUCCUACGUGCGGCAGCAGUGGGGAAUAUUGCACAAUGGGCGCAAGCCUGAUGCAGCGACGCCGCGUGGGGGAUGACGGCCUUCGGGUUGUAAACUCCUUUCGCUAGGGACGAAGCGUUUUUGUGACGGUACCUGGAGAAGAAGCACCGGCUAACUACGUG
This 468-nucleotide ribosomal RNA is filed under the name uncultured bacterium. Its description in RNAcentral is "partial 16S ribosomal RNA". It matches the Rfam family "Bacterial small subunit ribosomal RNA", at positions 28 to 507 of the family's 1533-position model. The record is from RNAcentral.